Molecule: long non-coding RNA, 229 nt
Filed under: Elaeis guineensis (African oil palm)
Lineage: Eukaryota; Viridiplantae; Streptophyta; Magnoliopsida; Arecales; Arecaceae
Description: long non-coding RNA (EGUI_LNC072225)
Source: RNAcentral
GAAUGGUAUCAGAGUUUAGGUUAUGAUUAUUUGGGGAUUAUGAUAUAAGUGAUUUGGAUAUGACAAAAUGAUAUCAGAGCAUAAGAAGAUCAAAAUGUUACUGUUCUUCGAAAAUUUUUUUUUGAGAAAUCCAUAUAGAAAGAAUGAGUUUAAGAUUUCAAAAGAUUUUGUCAUAGCAAGAUCAUGAGAAAUAAAUAAUAUGUAAGACAUUAUCAUAAGCGUAAGAAUG